CCUACGGGAGGCAGCAGUGGGGAAUAUUGCACAAUGGGCGCAAGCCUGAUGCAGCGACGCCGCGUGGGGGAUGANGGCCUUCGGGUUGUAAACUCCUUUCGCUAGGGANGAAGCUCAGAGUGACG
RNAcentral lists this ribosomal RNA (125 nucleotides) under uncultured bacterium. Its description in RNAcentral is "partial 16S rRNA". It matches the Rfam family "Bacterial small subunit ribosomal RNA", at positions 338 to 474 of the family's 1533-position model. The record is from RNAcentral.